AUGUAUUUCUUGAACUGAAUUGGCAUGUUCCUGAACUCCAAAAUGUGUUUUGGUGCAUUAGCAGCAAAGCCUUUAACUUUAGAAGUACUUUGACCCCCUGAGAAUUUCAAGGGAUUUUAAGGGUCUGAAGUUUGUGUUUCAUAAAUUCUCAGUGUUCAGAUGUAGCUCACAUGAUUAUUUUUAGUACAGAGCUGAUACAGGUUUUGUCGUGAGCCAGAUGCAGCAAGGAUUGCUGGUUAUGCUUGUUGAUUCAUAGCUGUGCCAAGCAGAGCUGUGGAACUGAAUAUUAUGGGUAGUUUCUGGUUCAACAGGCUGUUGAAGGAGGGUAUCCUUUAUUUAAAUACAAAAUUAGCAGUACUUUUGCUUUGGAAACUUUCUGUGGCAGUAGUUCUUGGCAGUUGAUUCACUCACACACACACACACCUUGGGGUUUGUUGUUUAUUUUAGCCUAAGGGAGUUAUUUUGACUCAGUGGUAACAAGAUAGAAAGCCUUGGUACCUGUAAAGAGUGUAGUUAAUCUGUAGUUACAACCAUGCAUCCUUUUUUCAAGAUUAUAUAGUGCUGUCGUGUUAUAAAUGACUAAUUUCCCCUCCCCCUCCUUUUCUAUCCUACAUAUUUUCUUCACUUACUGGAGGGGGGUAAAAAAAGAGUUGGGUACCAAUUCACUGACUAUGUUUCUCACCAGCGUUCCACAAGCCUGUCUUAAGUAGCACUGAGAGUAGCCAGAGAAAUAACAUUGCACAAAUUGCUAUCAUACCAUCAUGUUUAUGUGAAAGCAUUUAUAUGUCAGGAGAGAGCCAGGCAGAAGGGGCUUGAGGCAGGUGCAUCACCCAAGAGAAAGAAGGGAAUUGCGUUGUCUGCCCACAUUGUGCAGAGCUGGGGUUGCACAGAGAAUCUGGAGCCUGUGUGAUGUCUUACUGAAGGCUGCUGGACUGAGUAAAUACAGGUAAGUUCUGAAAAGCGAUCAUUUAAAAGCAGUUCCAUAAGACGCCAUUUAGUAUCUCUCUUAUUGCCUUCAGGCUGCAAGAAAGAAUUUUCUGAGCCUUGAUGUAGGAUCUGAAAGGCAUCAAGCUGUUGGUUUGCACCACUCAAACAGAGCUUUUCACUGGGUUCAUCUGUUUGUGGAGGCACCUGUGCUGAGCUGCUGCUCUCAGUAAAUCUGCCCAACUGAAACUUCCUGUUGUGGGUUGUUUUGGUGUGGAAUGAAGUAGAGACCAGGGUCCUGAAGCCUUGAAUUCUGUCUGAUUUGUCUUAGGUUUAGUUUUGUGUGUUGAAAAGCCGUGAAAAUUACUUAGUCUGCUUUAUUUUUUAAGGACUUGUGUUUUGUGGUUGAUUGCAAUCUUGGAUUUAGGUUUCUUCCUGCUGCUGCUAAGUUAUAAAUCUGAGUAGUUAGCAUCUGAGCUGUCCAGUAACUUAGUCUAUCCUCUGACAGACAAGCUUAACUAGAUAAGUUUACUACUAAACAAAGCUGAGCAGGAACAUGUUAGGUGCCAAUAACAUUUCAUUAGUCAGGAGUCUCAGGAAUCUGAACUCAGAGGUCCAUGGGGGUUCAGCUUUAAGUUCAAAGUAUACAUAGGGUUCUUGUUCUGGUGCCCAUCCUUUAAUCUCUCCUGGUUUUUGUUUGAGGUCAGUAAUGCCUCUGCUUUCUUCAGUGGCUCCUUUUCUUCCCUCAGAAGUUGUAUGUCUUUCUAUAUCUUUCCAAAGACUCCUUCCAUGGCUUUCCUUAGCCCUUGCUUGUCACAAUUUAUAAUUAAUUAAAAUUAAUAACUGCUUUUCUCCUUAUUUGCUUGGGCAGAGAGUAGGUUCAAUCAAUUUAUUUAUGCCAACUGUUGCUGACAGUUAUGAGCUGUUGUGAGCUGCCAGCUGCAGGCUGCUUGUAUUGUCCUACAGUGUAACUGGGGCAGUUUUCAAGCACUGUCUCCUAUAUAUCCUCUUUGCUUUGAGAAUAACAUGGGCAGCACUGCAGCUUGUCUCCCAUGUAAGACAAAGAAUGACUUUCUCUUCUCUCAGGACACCCUAAUUUAGCAAACUAGGCAUUGUAAGAUCUCUGAUAUUUCUGCCACCCUGUCAAAUAGGACCGUGCAAAUAUGACCAAAUAUGUACAAAUACGUCUUCCACAGUUAUUAGCAGCGAACUCUUGCUCCGUGUGGUCACGUAUGCCUCCUUCCCUUAGGAAGUUGUUCUAAGAAAGCAAUCCAGCUUCCAGCAGAUGAAAAGGCCGUGACGUAGUACUUGUACGCAAGAAACAGGCUAAUUCAAGGGACUUAAAGUGCCAAUUUACUUGUUUUGAAAUAAGAAUUACAUUUUUGGAAGUCAGGAGAAGGAGAUGAACAGCUCUGAAAAUAUGGUAAAAGCAUGAGUAGGCAGAACAAGGAGAUGGUUUUGGUUUUUUCAGUUACCAUUCCCAAAUCUCUGCUUGAACUUCAUACCCUCCUCACCCACCCACUGGAAACUGGUUGCACAAACUAUGUAGAAUAGCUCUAAACAAAGUUUCUUGGUAUCAAACGUGAAAGAUAAGAUCCCAAAAGAAGUGUUCUUGCCACAUUUUGAUUAAAAAAUGAUAAAUCUAUUGUGCAGAUGCUGCAAAAGUGACAUAGCAGAUUCUCAUCUAGCAGAAGUGACUUAGAGCUCUAAUUUAGAUAAGUGAGAUCCAAUUUUCUAAGGUCAUAAAUAAUGAUUGUUGUUUGUGUGUUUCCCAAUUGCAAUGUUCCUAGUCUUUCACAUUUGUGCCAAUAGUUAUCUACACGUUCGCAUUUUAAAAUACCAGGCACAGAGACUGAUGACUUUAUUUACCCUUUACUGUAAAUAUCUUUUUUCACUUCUUAGUAGCAAAGGCAUCCACACUGUCUGUAAUAACAGCUAAUUCUCUUCAUUCUGUUCCUUCCAUUAAAACUACCAAAACAUUACAAUUCUGAUGUGAGAAACAAAGUCACAGAUCUUUCUGUCGCAUCUGAGCAGAAGGACUUGCAGAUCUGUCUGGAGACCCCUUGGAGUCGAUGGUGUUCUAUGCAGGUAUGAGGGCUCCUCUGUGAAGGCCUAACGGCACUGAAUUUGAUCUGUCUCCUCUUUCAGUAAACUCAUGUGCUGCUUGCCUUUAUGAAUGAACUGCUGUUAUCAAAAAGGCAAGUCAAAACUGUGUCCAUGUAGCAGAGCACAAAAACAAGGUUAAAACUGCUGUUAAAAACUAAGCUUCUAAUGAAGACUCCUGCAUUUCAGUUUUAGCUCUGUCCCUAGUUCAUCAGGUUACCCAGAUCAAGUAUUUAAUUCUUCCAAAGUCUCUUUUUUCAUGUACAGAUGGUGCAGAAAGGGACUCUGGCAGAUUUGUCCUGCUCAUAUUGUGCCCCUGAAGCCAAGUGCCACUGCCAGUUUCCCCUCUUUUCUCCUGAAGGUUACGAUCCUUGGGACAUCCUUGUGUCCCUGCACCCACUAUUCCCAUUCACCAGCAAACAGAUCGGCUCAAACUCUCCGUAAGGACAGCUGACAUUAGAGGGAGGCAAGAUCGCCCUUCUGCUGGAGCAGGAAUAAAAAGAAAUGCCUGAAAGCACUAGAGUUGCUUAACACACUUCAUGGAGCCUAGGUACUCACCUCUGAAAGCAGCUGUCGUGUUCAGGUCCUAUGAAGAGGGACAUAAGUGUGCUGUUCUGCAAAAUAGUGUCACUUUUUUUUUAUAGUUUGUUUUCCUUUUUAUGACUUUAUACUUUGGUUUCAUGACUAGCUGCAGGAUGUGAAAAAAUUGUAGUGAGAUUCUAGUGUGAGGUCUGCCUGAAAAAGGCCACAACUGAAAUGGGCUGUCUCUUUCUGCGUCUUGUGAAGCGAGCAAAAAGUUGUUUUCAUGGUGGAAGGUUCUCUGUUGAAAUGUUGUCAAAGAGGUGAGAACCACCGAAGCUGCCUUGCGUGCCCUGAACUCAGGCUGUGGUUUCAGCGAGGCACACUGGGAACACUAACAGCUGGCAAGUUAACCCUACCGUUGGCCUAUGAGACAUAUACCCUGGUCAUAUCUAACCUGCUAACUUGUCCAAUGUAUUUUUAUAAAGAUUAAGAAGCAUUCAGCUGAAGUCAAUGUAAAUCGCCUAAAUGCAACACCCUGAGUGGCAUCUCUAUUUUAGCAUGUAUCUGUGGAAUCAGGUAACUGUAAAAUGGUUGAGCUGGUUAGAGGACUAUUACAGUUUAAGUUAUUUUUUUUUCAGGGUGGAGCUGUUGGCCAGCACUGCCAUCCAACAGCAUGGAAGCUAACAGUGUGCUUAAUGGCUGCAUUUAUCACCCAGAACACCAGGAUGAAAUCACCAGAGUGAGGACUGGGAGAUGUGGAUUCUCUUUCCAGCCUUUUCACAAACUUCUCCUGCGAUUUACAGCUUGCCAGGAACAUGGUGCCAGAUGAGCUCUUCCAGCUGCAGCUUUUUUAACCUUAACAUGUUAUAGCUGCUGGUUCUUCACAUCCACUGGUGGAAAUGACCUGAGGGGGAGGAGGUUAGAGGCCUGUCAGAUCUGCUGGUGUCUUUCCACCUGUACCUGUUUCCUAUCCUGCUUAUAUUGUCAGGGUGAGUUGGUGAGCAGCUAGGCACAGUAUCCUUUUAACUCUGACCAGCUGUAGCAUUCCCUGACUGUACCCAUAAACUGGUGAUGUACCACAAAAAAUGAGUCACAAAAAAUGAAUAAAUAGGAAACCAUAAAUAAGUACAGUGCCAUAAAUCUUGCUGUGAGAAAGCUUUGGAAAAAGAGCAGCAGCGUUCCUCAUCUCCAAAUAAGCUACUGUCCUUUAUUUCGAAGAGCUCAAUUUACAGUGGAAGGCAACAAAGUGCUCUUUCAACCAGUUAUUUCUGGCAGAGCAAAGGUUUAGGCGUUGAUUCCUAUUGAACUUUAAGAAAAUUCUGUUUUGAUUUCAGAGAGCUACAGCAAACUGCCUGUCCAGCUUUGCUGCUAGGUGUGUGCUGACAAUCACUCCUACUCCAAGGUGGAAGGCUGGGUGCCUUCAAUUUCCACAAGUGACUGACAUGUGACAUUUCUACAGGUCUUGGACACAUACAGGAGACGACCUUGCACAAUAUGCUGGGUACCACUUGUCUCACAGUUGGGCCGCAUUGUAGGAUUGAUACUUGCCACUGGGCCAAAAGAUACCCUCAGGUCACAGACCUGUUGCUCUUGCAUUGACAGGCUCAGAUCCUUGGUUUUUCUUCACUUGAUGCAUGAAAGUUUGAAAUAAAACCAGAAUCUCAGUGAGGGGAGUGUGAAAGAACUGGUACAUUGUUGGGGUUUUUUUUUCUGAGAGCUGUGGGGAAAACUGAAAAUAUCUGUGUGUGGGAGGGAGGAGAGAUUUAAAAGAAACAUUUAAAAUUAAGUAGGAUUUCUUAGAAUCAACAGUGAAACUGUUCACAGCAAUGUUCUGAGCACUAAUGUAACAAACAGUUGAAAUGCGGUUGUUUUCCCCAAAGCUAAGUUCUAGGUGUUCCCAAACCACCUGCAUUAUAAAUUCAAGCUCCACAGGCUGAACCACAUUUAUCGAUAAUGUCAUGCCGUAGGAAAAAUACUUUGACUAUGAUACCUCUUGCUGGUAGCUAAGCUUUUUCCCCUAAAAAUGUUCCUUUUGGAACUGCACUAUAUCAGUCACUGUUGAUGCUAUUUCUGAGCCACAGUGGCAAAACCUUCCCAUUUGUAGUCAGCAGAAAUGAUGAUCUCUAUUUCUCUUCGCUCCCCUGUGUCAGUGAUAUGUCAGAGGUGAAUAACACACUGGCGUACCAUGGUGGGAUAUGCAGGUUCUCGGAGCGUUAAUCAAAACUCUGAAGUCUGUGUACUUACAUUCAUUUGAUUUUGUGCAAAUGAAGUCUGCCUCAAGAGCAUGACAGGAGAAGCUCUGGGGUCUUUUUUAAUUAAAUCACUCUGCCUUGCUCAGCUUCACCCCAGUAAUGCUCCCUCUCUUGCUUUGUACUCCUCAUGUUGCUGCAGCACCAGGAAACCAUUUGUGUCUCCAGUCACGAGUCACCUGGUGUGUGACCACUGAAAUGUGAGAUUUCUCAGCAGCUUGCAAGGUUUGGACUUUUGCCCACUGCUUAGAGGUCAGUAGAAAUUUUGGUGCUGUAGCUUCAUGCAAGUCCGGAUCAAGGGACCAUGCAGGACGCACUCAGCUCGCAGGGGUUUUCUCAGACGGCACCUGGGUUUACCUUCAGCAGGAACAUCUGUGCAUGCACUGAGGUUCCUCGGCCAGGAGGCUUAGGGCCCCUUGGGAAGGCACCAGAUUUGAACGUGCAUCAGCAGCUCCUUCACACGUGAGCUCCUUCCCUGCUCCAUGCUGUCAUGCUCAGGGUGGAAGAGGAUGCCCAAGAAGCCAAUGUGAAAUCAAGACUGUGAUAGCAAAGUUGCAUCCUACAAAGCAACAUGGGACAUAAACCCUACCCCAUCAGCUCAGCAAAUGAAGACAUCAGAUGGCCCACACCAGCCAUGCUCACUUAGGAGUGCUGCUCGCUGUGCCUGCGGUGAAGGUGCUGGGUCAUCCAGGCUGAGCAGAGCUGGCGUGCUGCUGCUGUGCAGCUGCAGACAGGGGCUCGCUGGGCACGGGGAAAUCUGUAAAGAUUCCCUUGGGAGCAGUUGCUGCAUAAGCCAUGGGGGCUCGUCACUUUCCCCACUGAAAGACACUUGGCUCUGACAGUGAGGUACCUGUGAUUCUUAUCCACUGCUGAAACUGCUGAAAGCAGCUGAAGGAGCAAGGGUGUUUUGAUUGCCCCAUGCUGUAGAAGGCCUAAUUCUUAAUUACAGUCUUGUGUUGGCUUUGCCAAACUCAACAGUAGUGCUAAUGAUAGAUCUCUCUCAAAAUUGGAAACUGUUUCUAUUGUGUUUUAUUUUUGAAGAAAAGGAGUGAGCCCAUAAGAAUGUCCUGCGUUCCCUCUGUGGGAUAUAACUUCAGUCAUUUCACCACUCCUAAGAAUAAACUGACUCCCUACUGAGUUAUUCAUAAUGCCUUUUCAGCCAGGCUGAUGUAUAUCAGAUCACUUCCUGAGGCUGCUGUGAGGAACACAUCAAGCAUCUCCCCUCGUGCUGAGUGCUGGCACAUCACAGAAUUUCUGUGGGACUCUACAAAGAAAUAAAAAAUAAAAAUCAACACAAGCCAGA
Molecule: long non-coding RNA, 7101 nt
Organism: Falco peregrinus (peregrine falcon)
Lineage: Eukaryota; Metazoa; Chordata; Aves; Falconiformes; Falconidae
Exons: 5
Source: RefSeq, a predicted model, not a curated record